GACGAACGCUGGCGGCGUGCUUAACACAUGCAAGUCGAACGGUGAACCAGAGCUUGCUCUGGGGAUCAGUGGCGAACGGGUGAGUAACACGUGGGCAACCUGCCCCAGACUCUGGGAUAACCCCGGGAAACCGGAGCUAAUAUCGGAUAUGACCACUUCGGACAUCCGAUGGUGGUGGAAAGUUUUUCGGUCUGGGAUGGGCCCGCGGCCUAUCAGCUAGUUGGUGGGGUAAUGGCCUACCAAGGCGACGACGGGUAGCCGGCCUGAGAGGGCGACCGGCCACACUGGAACUGAGACACGGUCCAGACUCCUACGGGAGGCAGCAGUGGGGAAUAUUGCACAAUGGGCGAAAGCCUGAUGCAGCGACGCCGCGUGAGGGACGACGGCCUCGGUUGUAACGUCUUCUAGCAGGGACGAAGCGAAAGUGACUGUACCUGCAAAGAAGACA
RNAcentral lists this ribosomal RNA (448 nucleotides) under uncultured bacterium. RNAcentral describes it as "bacterial SSU rRNA". It matches the Rfam family "Bacterial small subunit ribosomal RNA", at positions 28 to 492 of the family's 1533-position model. The record is from RNAcentral.